GAUGAACGCUGGCGGCGUGCCUAAUACAUGCAAGUCGAGCGAACAGACGAGGAGCUUGCUUCUCUGACGUUAGCGGCGGACGGGUGAGUAACACGUGGAUAACCUACCUAUAAGACUGGGAUAACUUCGGGAAACCGGAGCUAAUACCGGAUAAUAUAUUGAACCGCAUGGUUCAAUAGUGAAAGACGGUUUUGCUGUCACUUAUAGAUGGAUCUGCGCCGCAUUAGCUAGUUGGUAGGGUAACGGCUUACCAAGGCAACGAUGCGUAGCCGACCUGAGAGGGUGAUCGGCCACACUGGAACUGAGACACGGUCCAGACUCCUACGGGAGGCAGCAGUAGGGAAUCUUCCGCAAUGGGCGAAAGCCUGACGGAGCAACGCCGCGUGAGUGAUGAAGGUCUUCGGAUCGUAAAACUCUGUUAUUAGGGAAGAACAAAUGUGUAAGUAACUAUGCACGUCUUGACGGUACCUAAUCAGAAAGCCACGGCUAACUACGUG
RNAcentral lists this ribosomal RNA (497 nucleotides) under uncultured bacterium. RNAcentral's name for it is "partial 16S ribosomal RNA". It matches the Rfam family "Bacterial small subunit ribosomal RNA", at positions 28 to 507 of the family's 1533-position model. The record is from RNAcentral.